CUCGAACUAUCAUGAGAGGUACAGCCUGCCCAGUGACCCAAUGUUCAACGGCCGCGGUAUCCUAACCGUGCGAAGGUAGCGUAAUCACUUGUUCUUUAAAUGAGGACUAGUAUGAAUGGCAUCACGAGGGUUAUACUGUCUCCUUUUUCCAAUCAGUGAAACUAAUCUCCUCGUGAAGAAGCGAGGAUUAUUUUAUAAGACGAGAAGACCCUAUGGAGCUUUAAACUAACCAGCAUUUGCUAUAUUGUAUAAUUUUUCAGAAAUAUAAAAAACAGCUUAGCUCUUUGACUAUAAGUUUUCGAUUGGGGUGAUCACGGAACAAAAAAUAACUUCCGUGCCGAAAGGAUUAUUCCUGAGCCAAAAGUGACAACCUUAAGCACUAAAAAAUUAACGCUUAUUGACCCAAUAAUUUGAUCAACGAAC
RNAcentral lists this ribosomal RNA (423 nucleotides) under Boana cinerascens group sp. ABGD cluster 20. RNAcentral describes it as "partial large subunit ribosomal RNA". It matches the Rfam family "Bacterial large subunit ribosomal RNA", at positions 1834 to 2457 of the family's 2925-position model. Lineage: Eukaryota; Metazoa; Chordata; Amphibia; Anura; Hylidae. The record is from RNAcentral.